UGGGGUAAAGGGAAUAUGCCAGUUGUAAGCUAACACAAAAUGUAGAAAACGUGUCUUUCUUACACCUUCCCUCAAGAUGGGUGAUGAAUAUUCAGCAAGCCCAUCUUGGAUGAAGGAAACAUGCAGAAGAGGGCUUCAAACUGGAAGGAAAUCGUGACAGUGUUGGAUGCAGCGAAAAAUAUGGAUUGAUGUAGUGUUUGGUGCAAUUAAGUGGAGGAGAAGUGUAUGGGAGAGUUAUCUCAGCUCAGAAGGCCUUCCUAAGAUGGAAGGAAGCUUGAGAAAGGAAGAAGAAGUAAGAAUUCAAAGGUGACUUAAGAGCAAAGUGGCUGGAAAACAAUUUUAGUAGCAUAACAUUCAAAGCUCAAAAGUAUCUCUUUAAGGUAUUAGCCCUCCUAUUUAUAGAUGAGGGAAGCCCAUAACCUGAUUUAUUUCCCCCCAAAACCCAAUACAAUUUGUUGCAGAAACAUCUAUCAGAAGAAGAAAUUCCCACGCUGGUAGGUGCACAACACAUGUUGCAGUCCACGUCAACAAUUCAUGCUUCUUUGCAUGCUGGUUUGCACGCUGGGCCACCUAGGUCUUUGGCUGGGCACAAAUCUGUUUUGGCCAUCCGCAAGCUAAAUUGCUUAUCAG
Molecule: long non-coding RNA, 630 nt
Filed under: Vigna radiata
Lineage: Eukaryota; Viridiplantae; Streptophyta; Magnoliopsida; Fabales; Fabaceae
Description: long non-coding RNA (VRAD_LNC015287)
Source: RNAcentral